Long non-coding RNA from Carassius carassius (crucian carp), 478 nucleotides. RefSeq lists it as uncharacterized. The record is from RefSeq and is a predicted model, not a curated record. The transcript has 4 exons. NCBI's taxonomy places the organism in Eukaryota, Metazoa, Chordata, Actinopteri, Cypriniformes, Cyprinidae.
UUCUAUAGGUGUGGUCAAAUAGAAACUGUACUUCAUGAUAUGUGUGAGAUAUGACUAAUAAUCCUUUUAUAAUUAUAUCAUCAUAGGGGCUCAAGGUGUUGGAUUUUGGCCAUAUAUUGUAGUAUCUUCCCUUGUCUUCAUCCUUAUUUGUGUAAUUACUGGAGUCUUCAUAUAUAAAAGGCGACACAGGCACCAAUCCGACAGAACAUAUGCAAAUAUGAGAGCAGAAUACAAGUCAAACAACAUUUGCAUUGUGUCAGGAAACGUGCCUUUAUCCAAGCGUUUUAUGUUGUCAACCAAAGAGGGCGAUUAUGAGGCUGUUUACAACAACAUGGGCAAGCUCAGCGUGUAUUAAAAUGCCUGAUGAUGAUGAUGAACAAAACAAAAUAUGCUUAGCAUAAUGUAUGCUUUAAAAAAUAUAAAAGUCUGUAGCAGGUAUUGACUUUAUCAAUGCUUUCCAGUAUGUUUGUGUGGGAAC